ACAUUAAUUUUCAUUGUUUUCUAGCAAAAGCUCAUCAGAAUAUGAUACAGGACUAUGGAGUUGCAAAAAAGGUGUAUCCUUAAAUAGGUUUUUUAAAGG
Molecule: long non-coding RNA, 99 nt
Organism: Thalassophryne amazonica
Lineage: Eukaryota; Metazoa; Chordata; Actinopteri; Batrachoidiformes; Batrachoididae
Exons: 3
Source: RefSeq, a predicted model, not a curated record